AGUGAACGCUGGCGGCAUGCUUUACACAUGCAAGUCGAACGGUAACAGGUUAAGCUGACGAGUGGCGAACGGGUGAGUAAUGCAUCGGAACGUGCCCGAUCGUGGGGGAUAACGCAGCGAAAGCUGCGCUAAUACCGCAUACGAUCUGAGGAUGAAAGCGGGGGACCGUAAGGCCUCGCGCGAUCGGAGCGGCCGAUGUCAGAUUAGGUAGUUGGUGGGGUAAAGGCUCACCAAGCCAACGAUCUGUAGCUGGUCUGAGAGGACGACCAGCCACACUGGGACGGAGACACGGCCCAGACUCCUACGGGAGGCAGCAGUGGGGAAUUUUGGACAAUGGGCGAAAGCCUGAUCCAGCAAUGCCGCGUGCAGGGAGAAGGCCUUCGGGUUGUAAACUGCUUUUGUACGGAGCGAAAAGGUCCCCUCUAAUACAGGGGGCUCAUGACGGUACCGUAAGAAUAAGCACCGGCUAACUACGUGCCAGCAGCCGCGGUAA
This 493-nucleotide ribosomal RNA is filed under the name uncultured bacterium. RNAcentral's name for it is "partial 16S ribosomal RNA". It matches the Rfam family "Bacterial small subunit ribosomal RNA", at positions 29 to 523 of the family's 1533-position model. The record is from RNAcentral.